Long non-coding RNA from Thunnus maccoyii (southern bluefin tuna), 546 nucleotides. RefSeq lists it as uncharacterized. The record is from RefSeq and is a predicted model, not a curated record. NCBI's taxonomy places the organism in Eukaryota, Metazoa, Chordata, Actinopteri, Scombriformes, Scombridae. The transcript is spliced from 3 exons.
CAAAUCCAGCUCCCAACCAACCAUCCAUAGCUUGCUUCAUCGGUGUGGGUCCAUCAUGGGUAGGCUGAUGCAUAAACUUACCCUAUGACUGCACCAGGAUAACCUAGAAACAGUCGGGGGAAACUAGCAGCUGAGUUUCCAGAUGACCAGGGAAGACAGCUGUAGAUGUUAUGUCGCUCACCUUGGAUGCUUUUGCUGAGGUUUCACAUGUCUGCUUUUUGAGUCUCUAACUGUACCUCUAAAGACUGUCUUUCACAGCGAAACAUAUACUCACAAAGUACUUCAUUAGGAACACGUGUGCAAUCUAAUCCAAUCCUAUACAACAGCUCUGCCAUAAAUUUUACUUCUAUGAAGGCUUUACAUAUUUUGUCCACCCUGUGAGGGUGCAGAAAAAAUAUUAUUUUCAAUAAAAUGCACUCCAGAACACCACCUCCACCCACUACAACCUCAAUAAUAAACUAUCAUCUUUCUGAUAAUGUCAACACAAACUGAAAAAUGAAUUUAAUUGAAUUUAAGCACUGUAUUUUAAUUAACUGAAUGAUUAGA